Molecule: ribosomal RNA, 252 nt
Filed under: uncultured bacterium
Lineage: Bacteria
Description: partial 16S ribosomal RNA
Rfam family: Bacterial small subunit ribosomal RNA
Source: RNAcentral
UACGGAGGAUGCGAGCGUUAUCCGGAUUUAUUGGGUUUAAAGGGUGCGUAGGCGGGCUGUUAAGUCAGCGGUAAAAGCCCGGGGCUCAACCCCGGCGAGCCGUUGAAACUGGCUGCCUUGAGAUGUCGAGAGGUAUGCGGAAUGCGCAGUGUAGCGGUGAAAUGCUUAGAUAUUGCGCAGAACUCCGAUUGCGAAGGCAGCAUACCGGCGGCGAUCUGACGCUGAGGCACGAAAGCGUGGGUAUCGAACAGG